GCCCUCGGGCUGUGCUGUGGAGUCGAAGCGGCACCUGGCCGCCCGGCUCCGUGGACGCUGACUUGGGCGUCUGAAUCCUCUCCGGAGUCAGGCCGGGGUCAGCCUCGGGGCCCGCGUCCGCCUCCCUCUCCCUGUGCUGCCCAAGGGCAAGGGGAGGGCGGAGGUUUUUAUGAGGCUGGGAACCAGACAGGCUCUGGGGCUCAGAGGGGCCUGCCAGCGGCGGGAGUGGGGCCGCCUCGUUCCCAGCCCCUGAAACUUUGGGCUGGGGGCCACUCGGUGGGGGGUGAGGGGUGGGGGGUGCAGGGACGAGACAGGGAUGGAGCAGCAUUUUGAUGUCUUCUCUUCAUUCCAUGCCUGCUGCUCGAGCACCUGCUGUAUGCCAGGCUCCACUCCUGGAGACGGAGACCCAGCAAGGUCUCCAUCUGCAUUCUGGUGGAGGAGACAAGAUCAGCUGAGCAAGCCCAGGAACAGAGAAGAUCGUUUCAGUGGGAGAGAAGCCCCAUGACUGAAACACACAGGGGUGUUCGGGAGCUUCAUAGAUCAGAGAGGGCUUCUCUGAAGAGACUGGGCACUGUGGAAGCACAGCCUGAAUGAAACCUGCUGCUGAAGAGGCGGGAUGGCCUGGCAAGCCGUGAAGAACGUGGACUCUGAGCCGGAAGGCCUGGCUGAGCUCCUGGCCCAGCUCUUACCAACUGUGUGACUUUGGGCAAGUUGCCUUACCUCUCUGAGCUUUUUCUGUCAAAUGGAAUAAUUACAGUACCCACCUUGUAGGGCUGUUCUAGGAACACAGGAGUUAAUACAUGUGUUUAGCACAAGGUACACAGUACCGACUGAAUAAAUGUUCUCCGCGUUUUGUGCUCAAAA
Odocoileus virginianus texanus is the source of this 864-nucleotide long non-coding RNA. RefSeq lists it as uncharacterized. The record is from RefSeq and is a predicted model, not a curated record. Lineage: Eukaryota; Metazoa; Chordata; Mammalia; Artiodactyla; Cervidae.